RNAcentral lists this ribosomal RNA (470 nucleotides) under uncultured bacterium. RNAcentral's name for it is "bacterial SSU rRNA". It matches the Rfam family "Bacterial small subunit ribosomal RNA", at positions 355 to 825 of the family's 1533-position model. The record is from RNAcentral.
UGGGGAAUUUUGGACAAUGGGCGAAAGCCUGAUCCAGCAAUGCCGCGUGCAGGAAGAAGGCCUUCGGGUUGUAAAGCACUUUUAUCAGGAACGAAAAGCGGAGGGUUAAUACCCAUCCGUGCUGACGGUACCUGAGGAAUAAGCACCGGCUAACUUCGUGCCAGCAGCCGCGGUAAUACGAAGGGUGCAAGCGUUAAUCGGAAUUACUGGGCGUAAAGCGUGCGUAGAUGGCCGAUUAAGUCGGAUGUGAAAGCCCCGGGCUCAACCUGGGAACGGCAUCCGAUACUGGUGGGCUAGAGUGCGGUAGAGGAGAGCGGAAUUCCCGGUGUAGCGGUGAAAUGCGUAGAGAUCGGGAGAACAUCCGUGGCGAAGGCGGCUCUCUGGACCAGCACUGACGUUGAGGCACGAAAGCGUGGGGAGCAAACAGGAUUAGAUACCCUGUAGUCCCUGAGCGGGCUGGCAAGGCGCAU